This 257-nucleotide ribosomal RNA is filed under the name uncultured bacterium. RNAcentral's name for it is "partial 16S ribosomal RNA". It matches the Rfam family "Bacterial small subunit ribosomal RNA", at positions 521 to 776 of the family's 1533-position model. The record is from RNAcentral.
UGACACGUAGGCACCAAGCGUUGUCCGGAUUUAUUGGGCGUAAAGAGCUCGUAGGCGGUUCAGUAAGUCGGGUGUGAAAACUCUGGGCUCAACCCAGAGACGCCACCCGAUACUGCUGUGACUUGAGUACGGUAGGGGAGCGGGGAAUUCCUGGUGUAGCGGUGAAAUGCGCAGAUAUCAGGAGGAACACCAGUGGCGAAGGCGCCGCUCUGGGCCGUAACUGACGCUGAGGAGCGAAAGCGUGGGGAGCAAACAGG